RNAcentral lists this ribosomal RNA (253 nucleotides) under uncultured bacterium. Its description in RNAcentral is "partial 16S ribosomal RNA". It matches the Rfam family "Bacterial small subunit ribosomal RNA", at positions 524 to 776 of the family's 1533-position model. The record is from RNAcentral.
UACAGAGGUCCCAAGCGUUGUUCGGAUUCACUGGGCGUAAAGGGUGCGUAGGCGGUCGGGUAAGUCUGACGUGAAAUCUCCGGGCCUAACCCGGAAACUGCGUUGGAAACUGCCUGGCUAGAGGAAUGGAGGGGAGACUGGAAUACUUGGUGUAGCAGUGAAAUGCGUAGAUAUCAAGUGGAACACCAGUGGCGAAGGCGAGUCUCUGGACAUUUCCUGACGCUGAGGCACGAAAGCCGGGGGAGCAAACGGG